ACGACGCCAUUUUGGUUGUUGCUUCUGCACUUUGUUUCCACGUCUGUGUUUGCAUUUUGCUCUUUAUCCCGCACGUAUCGCACGUUCUGCACGAUGUAUGCCACUGUUGCUUUGGUUUAUCAUCAAGCCCAGGACGAUCUCCACAGGUUGAGGAACUACCAGGUCCCCGUCUCCCAAACGACUCUUCCUGUCCCUGAUCCUUUCAGAUAUAUCAAUCGUGGGAGGGAUACAGACAAGUACCGGAUUCCAGAGCCACGAUGUGACAGACAAUGCCGAGCGACCAUGUACAAGAUUUUUAAGUUCAGUGAUUAAUUAAUAAACUCCUUAUUGAACUUUA
Molecule: long non-coding RNA, 337 nt
Organism: Haliotis rufescens (red abalone)
Lineage: Eukaryota; Metazoa; Mollusca; Gastropoda; Lepetellida; Haliotidae
Exons: 3
Source: RefSeq, a predicted model, not a curated record